RNAcentral lists this ribosomal RNA (253 nucleotides) under uncultured bacterium. Its description in RNAcentral is "partial 16S ribosomal RNA". It matches the Rfam family "Bacterial small subunit ribosomal RNA", at positions 524 to 776 of the family's 1533-position model. The record is from RNAcentral.
UACGUAGGGUGCGAGCGUUGUCCGGAAUUACUGGGCGUAAAGAGCGUGUAGGCGGCUUGGUAAGUCCGCUGGGAAAGUCCAGGGCUCAACCCUGGAAUGCCGGUGGAAACUGUCAAGCUUGAGUCCGGAAGAGGCGAGUGGAAUUCCUGGUGUAGCGGUGAAAUGCGCAGAUAUCAGGAGGAACACCAAAGGCGAAGGCAGCUCGCUGGGACGGUACUGACGCUGAGACGCGAAAGCGUGGGGAGCAAACAGG